GCAAAGGGCGCAUGGGGGAUGCCUAGGCUCUUGGAGGCGAAGAAGGACGUGGCAAGCUGCGAAAAGCUGCGGGGAGCUGCAAGCGAGCUGAGAUCCGCAGAUGUCCGAAUGGGGGAACCCGGCCGGUUGAAGACCGGUCAUCCUGCCGCAAGGCAGGAGGCGAACCCGGGGAACUGAAACAUCUAAGUACCCGGAGGAGGAGAAAACAAUAGUGAUUCCGUGAGUAGUGGCGAGCGAAAGCGGAGGAGCCCAAACCACAGCGGUUUCGGCUGCUGUGGGGUUGUAGGGCUGCCAUAAGCCCGGUGUAAGCGAAGCUGAAUCGUAUGGGAAGACGAACCGUAGAGGGUGAGAGUCCCGUAAGCGUAAGCGAGCACCGGGUGGCAGAACCCUGAGUAGGGCGGGACCGGAGGAAUCCCGUCUGAAUCUGCCGGCACCAUCCGGUAAGGCUAAAUACUCCCAAGAGACCGAUAGUGAACCAGUACCGUGAGGGAAAGGUGAAAAGCACUCCGAGCAGGAGGGUGAAAAGAACCUGAAACCAUGCGCCUACAAGCGGUCGGAGCCUCAUAGUGAGGUGACGGCGUGCCUUUUGCAUAAUGAGCCUACGAGUUACGGUCACUGGCAAGGUUAAGCCACUAAGUGGCGUAGCCGAAGCGAAAGCGAGUCUGAACAGGGCGUUGAGUCAGUGGCUGUAGACGCGAAACCCGGUGAUCUAUCCAUGGCCAGGUUGAAGCGUGGGUAAGACCACGUGGAGGACCGAACCGGUUGGCGUUGAAAAGCCAUCGGAUGAGCUGUGGAUCGGAGUGAAAGGCUAAUCAAACCGGGAGAUAGCUCGUACUCUCCGAAAUGCUUUUAGGAGCAGCGUCGUAGUAGUUUCACGGGGGUAGAGCUACCGAUAGGACUAGGGGGAGUCACAUCCUACCAAAUCCUGACGAACUCCGAAUACCGUGAAAUGGUCUACGGCAGUGAGGGUCCGGGUGCUAAGGUCCGGGUCCGAGAGGGAAAGAACCCAGAGCAUCAGCUAAGGUCUCGAAGUGGUGGUUAAGUUGUUAAAAGGAGGUUGGACUGCAUAGACAGCCAGGAUGUUGGCUUGGAAGCAGCCAUUCAUUUAAAGAGUGCGUAACAGCUCACUGGUCGAGCGGUCCGGCGCCGAUAAUAAACGGGCAUAAACCACCCACCGAAGCUAUGCUACUCGAUAGAGUAGGUAGGAGAGCAUUCCGUUUGCGGCGAAGCAGUCCCGUGAGGGAUUGUGGAGCGGACGGAAAAGCAAAUGUAGGCAUAAGUAACGAUAAAGCGGGUGAGAAACCCGCUCGCCGAAAGACUAAGGUUUCCUGUGGCGAUGUUAAUCAGCUCAGGGUUAGUCGGGGGCUAAGGCGUAGCCGAGAGGCGAAGCUGAUGCGAAACCGGUUAAUAUUCCGGUACCGGCUGUGAGGAGCGAAGGGGGGACGGAGCACUGACAGUCCCGCGCACUGACGGAAUAGUGCGUUGAAGCCGUUAGGUAUAUCCUGUGCAGGCAAAUCCGCACGGGAUGCUGAGCGGCGACAGUACACCGCGGCGCAAGCCAAGGUGAUAGUGGACGUAAGGGCUUCCAAGAAAAGCCUCUAAGCGAUGAAUCACAGCCGCCCGUACCGCAAACCGACACAGGUAGUCGGGUGGAGCACACUCAGGCGCUCGAGUGAGUCGUGGCUAAGGAAUUAGGCAAAUUAACCCCGUAACUUCGGGAGAAGGGGUACCGUCUCCGCAAGGAGCGGUCGCAGUGAACAGGUCCAAGCGACUGUUUAACAAAAACACAGGACUCUGCGAAGCCGCAAGGCGCGGUAUAGGGUCUGACACCUGCCCGGUGCCGGAAGGUUAAGGGGAGGCGUGCAAGCGCUGAACCGAAGCCCCGGUAAACGGCGGCCGUAACUAUAACGGUCCUAAGGUAGCGAAAUUCCUUGUCGGGUAAGUUCCGACCUGCACGAAUGGUGUAACGACUUGGACACUGUCUCAGCCACGAGCUCGGUGAAAUUGUAGUCUCGGUGAAGAUGCCGAGUACCCGCGACGGGACGAAAAGACCCCGUGCACCUUUACUACAGCUUCGCAUUGCGUUUGGCUGUUGGAUGUGUAGGAUAGGCGGGAGACUGUGAAGCCUGGGCGCCAGCUCAGGUGGAGUCGCCCUUGAAAUACCGCCCUUCCAACAGUUAGGCGCUAACUCCGGAUGGAGGACAGUGCGUGGCGGGUAGUUUGACUGGGGUGGUCGCCUCCAAAAGAGUAUCGGAGGCUUCCAAAGGUCGGCUCAGUACGGUUGGUAAUCGUACGUAGAGUGCAAUGGCACAAGCCGGCUUGACUGUGAGACAAACAGGUCGAGCAGGUGCGAAAGCAGGGCAUAGUGAUCCGGUGGUUCCGCAUGGGUGGGCCAUCGCUCAAAGGAUAAAAGGUACGCCGGGGAUAACAGGCUGAUCUCCCCCAAGAGCUCACAUCGACGGGGAGGUUUGGCACCUCGAUGUCGGCUCGUCACAUCCUGGGGCUGGAGAAGGUCCCAAGGGUUGGGCUGUUCGCCCAUUAAAGUGGCACGCGAGCUGGGUUCAGAACGUCGUGAGACAGUUCGGUCUCUAUCUGUCGCGGGCGCAGGAGGUUUGAGGAGAGCUGACCUUAGUACGAGAGGACCGGGUCGGACGGACCUCUGGUGUAUCAGUUGUGCCGCCAGGUGCACUGCUGAGUAGCUAUGUCCGGAAGAGAUAAGCGCUGAAAGCAUCUAAGCGCGAAACUCGCUCCAAGAUGAGACCUCCCGUGAGGGGCGUUCGAGAUGAGGACGUAGAUAGGUGACAGGUGUAAGCGGUGAGAGCCGUUGAGCCGAGUCAUACUAAUACCCCGAGAGACUUCUU
Molecule: ribosomal RNA, 2861 nt
Filed under: Thermonema sp.
Lineage: Bacteria; Pseudomonadati; Bacteroidota; Cytophagia; Cytophagales; Thermonemataceae
Description: 23S ribosomal RNA
Rfam family: Bacterial large subunit ribosomal RNA
Source: RNAcentral